RNAcentral lists this non-coding RNA (27 nucleotides) under Rattus norvegicus (Norway rat). Lineage: Eukaryota; Metazoa; Chordata; Mammalia; Rodentia; Muridae. The record is from RNAcentral.
UGAGAGCAAUCGACGCUAGAUGGAAAU